UACGAAGGGGACUAGCGUUGUUCGGAAUCACUGGGCGUAAAGGGUGCGUAGGCGGGUCUUUUAAGUCAGGGGGUGAAAUCCUGGAGCUCAACUCCAGAACUGCCUUUGAUACUGAGGAUCUUGAGUUCGGGAGAGGUGAGUGGAACUGCGAGUGUAGAGGUGAAAUUCGUAGAUAUUCGCAAGAACACCAGUGGCGAAGGCGGCUCACUGGCCCGGUACUGACGCUGAGGUGCGAAAGCGUGGGGAGCAAACAGG
RNAcentral lists this ribosomal RNA (255 nucleotides) under uncultured bacterium. RNAcentral describes it as "partial 16S ribosomal RNA". It matches the Rfam family "Bacterial small subunit ribosomal RNA", at positions 524 to 776 of the family's 1533-position model. The record is from RNAcentral.